Long non-coding RNA from Schistocerca piceifrons (Central American locust), 612 nucleotides. RefSeq lists it as uncharacterized. The record is from RefSeq and is a predicted model, not a curated record. Lineage: Eukaryota; Metazoa; Arthropoda; Insecta; Orthoptera; Acrididae. The transcript has 2 exons.
CGGCGCGUGCCGCCGCCCCCGCUGCCGCCCACCUUCCGCAUGGGCGCCACCAACACCAGCAGCCUGCACAGUAGCAACGACAGCGGCUUCAGCAACCCCACCCCGGAGGCCGACUUCUCAGACGACGACAGCGUCAGGAGCAACGUGUUCGCCACGGUGAAGCUGCGGAAAACCAAGACGAACGACCGGUCGGCUCCGCUCAUCCUGUAGGCGGCGCACACAUCCACACACACACACCUGCCCUGUUUCUCUUCCUGCCAGCCGCAGAACCGCGGGGCUCCCCCGCGCUGCAUAGCUUCGCUGUUUUCUCCGAGUCCGACCAGCUAUUACGUAGUAUGCGCUAGAACGAGUCCCUCUGUUCCCGUCUGACUGUACGUGACACCGACGGGCUGACGUGGAGGGGUUCAGAGGGAAAUAUUUUUAAAUUAGAUUCCUACAAGACACAGGCGACGAAGAACCGUGACGCAAAAGGGUGCAGAGGGAAUAGAAACCAUUUAGGGUUAAAUACAUUGUAAGUGGCUGGAAGUGUUCCAGUUUACAGCUAAGGAAAACUGUUGAAUUGUAAAUUAGCUGUAAAUAAAUAUCCUAAUAAAAGUUUAUCUCAUAUAUAAA